AUUAGGAUAGGGAAAAAUCAACUCUCUGUAUUACUAAGGAUUCAAGUUGCUUUAGAUUUCAUAUAUACAAAUAUGCAUACACAUGCACAGAUUAUUUUAUGUAUAUGAUAUAUACAAUUCAAGAAUACAUAGUAAAAUAUUAAACGUCUGAAGAAUUUAAGCUAUUCUAAUUUUGAAGAUAAGGAAUAUUUUAUGGGUGAAAAGAAAUCAAGACAGACAAUUUGAGGAGAAAACUAGGUGAUCAGGAACAACAGAGUCCAGGCAAUUAUAAAUAAAUUACUGCUCAUAAUAAGUAUUCAUAGGUUGAACAUAUUAUUAUUUUUGUAAGGGAGGGACAUGGAAAAUUGUCUACUUUUACAUAAGGCCACACUGUAUGUCUGGAAGUAAUCAAAUAAUCUUGGUGUAAAAUAAAAUAAAAUUAAGUUUCAAACAUUAACAUUAACAGGUGUCAAGAGGAAAAUGAGAAAAAAGCAUAAAAGAAGCAUAAACUAAUGUGUAUAUAAACACGUAGCCUGAAGACCACGAGGAAACAUGCUACAAAUGAAGAAGUAAUAACAAAUCCACAGUCAUAUGAGGCCACUGAACCAAGAACAACCAUUUGUACUGUGGAUUUCAGGACCACGGUUGCCAAAGCUGGAGUUCCAAGUGGCACCAGGACAACAGUGCUCCCCUUUGUGGUGUUUAUGAGACAAAAUUCAACGUGACCAGCUGCCUCAUGUUCCUGUUAUCCUGCCUAGCUCAGCGAACUCUGAGGCAAAAUUAGAAAACAAGUAUUUUGUUUUCUUUCAUUGCCUACAUUAUAUAAUGAGACAUCUUAAAUGUUGAGUAACUUAACUGCUACUUGUGGGCAGAUUUAUUUAUACAUCUCAAGUUUUCUGCAAAAUUAAAAUAUGUGUAUGAAAAAGACACCAAAAUAUGUGUUCUCUAGAUGCAACUUGUCC
This 941-nucleotide long non-coding RNA is filed under the name Rattus norvegicus (Norway rat). RNAcentral describes it as "long non-coding RNA NONRATT032424". Lineage: Eukaryota; Metazoa; Chordata; Mammalia; Rodentia; Muridae. The record is from RNAcentral.